UGGCCCUAAAUCUUGAUGCUUACCCCACUAAAGCAUCCGCCUGAGAACUACGAGCACAAACGCUUAAAACUCUAAGGACUUGGCGGUGCCCUAAACCCACCUAGAGGAGCCUGUUCUGUAAUCGACAACCCACGAUACACCCAACCACUUCUUGCCAAAAACAGCCUACAUACCGCCGUCGCCAGCUCACCUUCUUUGAAAGAACAGCAGUGAGCGUAAUCGCCUUAAACCCCGCUAACACGACAGGUCAAGGUAUAGCCUAUGAGGUGGAAGAAAUGGGCUACAUUUUCUAACUUAGAAAACCCCCUAUCUUAACGAAAGGGAGUGUGAAACAACUCCCUGAAGGCGGAUUUAGCAGUAAAGCGGGAUAAUAAAACCCCCUUUAAACCGGCUCUGAGGCAC
Molecule: ribosomal RNA, 402 nt
Filed under: Gallicolumba luzonica
Lineage: Eukaryota; Metazoa; Chordata; Aves; Columbiformes; Columbidae
Description: partial 12S ribosomal RNA
Rfam family: Bacterial small subunit ribosomal RNA
Source: RNAcentral